This 944-nucleotide long non-coding RNA is filed under the name Cavia porcellus (domestic guinea pig). RNAcentral describes it as "lncRNA (ENSCPOG00000039301.1)". Lineage: Eukaryota; Metazoa; Chordata; Mammalia; Rodentia; Caviidae. The record is from RNAcentral.
AAACCAUCCUGGGGGAGGAAGUGGGCCCUGUCCAGCUGGAAAACCUGGAGGGAGGAAGCCGGCCUCCCUCGCGCUGGGUGUGGCUCGCUCCAGAGGCAGCCGGCUGAGAUCCACUCUGCUCUUGGCCCUGGACAGACAGAGACGGACGGAGAGCCUCCCAGCCCACAGGCACGCUGUGGCUGCCGCCAGCUUGGGGCCUGACUUCCUCUCCAGGCAAGAAGAGGAGGAAGGAUCUCCUCACAGCCAACUUUGGUGACUAAAUUUCCAGCACAAAAGGCAAAGGAGGCAAGUAAGUGUGGCUUUUCAGAUGGAACGGUCCCUCCCAGGUUCCCAGGGUGUAGCAACAGUUAGAUGUAGGUGCAGGUCUAAAACUACCACCUAGAUUUUGGCCAUGUAAGGAAACAUCCCAGAUUCCAGGGAUGAAGAAUGGACACUUGAGAGACUCUCAUUUAGCUGUCUCUGAGCCUCAGUUUCCUCAUCUGUGAAAUGGAAAUGAUCAUCGCCACAAUCACAGGAUGCUGGGCUUGGUGUGGGUAUUAAAUGAGACGGUACCUCUGAAAGCCAGGCGGUGAGAACAGCUGAUUAUUCUUGCAUGUGAGGGGCACCACAGAUAGAGAGGGUGGCAAUAAGCACAUUUUGAAUGAAAGCUCAAAUCCUGGCUCCACUUCUUGCUGUUGUGUGUGCUCUGCCUCUCUGAGCUGGCAUUUCCUCACCCUGCAAAAUGCAACAGCUGACAGUCACUCCUAGGGGCUGGAAUGAGACACGGUGCCUCAGGAGAGGAGCUCCAGCAAGUCAGCAUCCUCCUCCAAGGAAGGAAGGCUGACUCGGGAUGCUCAAGCCUCCUCUGAGAAGGAGAAGGGACAGAGACUGGAUUCUGUGACCCCAGAUGCCAAAGAGCCCAUCUCCAGGGCUCCUGUCCUCCCUGGAAAUGGCCACCUAGAGAG